Molecule: ribosomal RNA, 433 nt
Filed under: uncultured bacterium
Lineage: Bacteria
Description: partial 16S ribosomal RNA
Rfam family: Bacterial small subunit ribosomal RNA
Source: RNAcentral
AAUGAACGCUGGCGGCAUGCCUAAUACAUGCAAGUCGAACGAGACCUUCGGGUCUAGUGGCGCAUGGGUGCGUAACGCGUGGGAACAUGCCCUUAGGUUCGGAAUAACUAUCCGAAAGGGGUGCUAAUACCGGAUAAUGUCUUCGGACGAAAGAUUUAUCGCCUUUGGAUGGGCACGAGUUGGAUUAGCUAGUUGGUAGGGUAAAAGCAUACCAAGGCGACGAUCCAUAGCUGGUCUGUGAGGAUGAUCAGCCACUCUGGGACUGAGACACGGCCCAGACUCCUACGGGAGGCAGCAGUGCCGAAUAUUGCACCAUCGGCGGAAGCCUGAUCCAGUUAUGCCGCGUGAGUGCUGAAGGCCUUAGGGUUGUAAAGCUCUUUUACCCGUGAUGAUAAUGACGGUACCGGGACAAUAAGCUCCGGCUAACUCCGUG